RNAcentral lists this ribosomal RNA (465 nucleotides) under Vreelandella stevensii. RNAcentral's name for it is "partial 16S ribosomal RNA". It matches the Rfam family "Bacterial small subunit ribosomal RNA", at positions 338 to 795 of the family's 1533-position model. The record is from RNAcentral. Lineage: Bacteria; Pseudomonadati; Pseudomonadota; Gammaproteobacteria; Oceanospirillales; Halomonadaceae.
CCUACGGGGGGCUGCAGUGGGGAAUAUUGGACAAUGGGCGAAAGCCUGAUCCAGCCAUGCCGCGUGUGUGAAGAAGGCCUUCGGGUUGUAAAGCACUUUCAGUGGGGAAGAAAGCCUUGGGGCUAAUACCCUCGAGGAAGGACAUCACCCACAGAAGAAGCACCGGCUAACUCCGUGCCAGCAGCCGCGGUAAUACGGAGGGUGCGAGCGUUAAUCGGAAUUACUGGGCGUAAAGCGCGCGUAGGCGGUCUGAUAAGCCGGUUGUGAAAGCCCCGGGCUCAACCUGGGAACGGCAUCCGGAACUGUCAGGCUAGAGUGCAGGAGAGGAAGGUAGAAUUCCCGGUGUAGCGGUGAAAUGCGUAGAGAUCGGGAGGAAUACCAGUGGCGAAGGUGGCCUUCUGGACUGACACUGACGCUGAGGUGCGAAAGCGUGGGUAGCAAACAGGAUUAGAUACCCUGGUAGUC